AUGUGCUUACUCAGGAGGAAAUCGGUACCCCGCGAGGCUGGCGAAGUCGGCACAAGAAGUAGGCGGAGUAGAGGCAGCAGUUGCGGGCUCAGGUGCGGCAAUCGCAAUCAAUAUUCCCGUCUGGGGUUGGCGGAGUUGGUAGAAAGCACGGUUGGCGAUAAGCUGGUACUAGUUUCAUUCUUUCUAUUCCAAAAUCCAAUUGGAAUUAGUUGUUUCCUGUCAAAGUCGAGGGCUUUAAACAGAGGACUAUAA
This 252-nucleotide ribosomal RNA is filed under the name Triticum aestivum (bread wheat). Its description in RNAcentral is "partial small subunit ribosomal RNA". Lineage: Eukaryota; Viridiplantae; Streptophyta; Magnoliopsida; Poales; Poaceae. The record is from RNAcentral.